Molecule: long non-coding RNA, 207 nt
Organism: Acanthopagrus latus (yellowfin seabream)
Lineage: Eukaryota; Metazoa; Chordata; Actinopteri; Spariformes; Sparidae
Exons: 3
Source: RefSeq, a predicted model, not a curated record
CACGGCCGUCACCCUCAUCAUCGAGGAACUCAGAAAAAAACACCCGGACCUGAAACCAGUGAAUCCAGUUCCUGCCUGGAAUGUUGCUGCUCCUACCAGAACAGGAGACCUUGACUUGGACUCUCGUGGUGGGCGUCAUCAUCGCCAGUGCAACUUCAGGAAGUUUCAUGGUAGCAGUGGAGGGCCGGUACGGAAAUUCUGAUGCCA